Molecule: ribosomal RNA, 468 nt
Filed under: uncultured bacterium
Lineage: Bacteria
Description: partial 16S ribosomal RNA
Rfam family: Bacterial small subunit ribosomal RNA
Source: RNAcentral
GACGAACGCUGGCGGCGUGCUUAACACAUGCAAGUCGAACGGAAAGGCCCUGCUUUUGUCGGGUGCUCGAGUGGCGAACGGGUGAGUAACACGUGAGUAACCUGCCCUUGACUUUGGGAUAACUUCAGGAAACUGGGGCUAAUACCGGAUAGGAGCUCCUGCUGCAUGGUGGGGGUUGGAAAGUCUCGGCGGUUGGGGAUGGACUCGCGGCUUAUCAGCUUGUUGGUGGGGUAGUGGCUUACCAAGGCUUUGACGGGUAGCCGGCCUGAGAGGGUGACCGGCCACAUUGGGACUGAGAUACGGCCCAGACUCCUACGGGAGGCAGCAGUGGGGAAUAUUGCACAAUGGGCGGAAGCCUGAUGCAGCAACGCCGCGUGCGGGAUGACGGCCUUCGGGUUGUAAACCGCUUUCGCCUGUGACGAAGCGUGAGUGACGGUAAUGGGUAAAGAAGCACCGGCUAACUACGUG